CCCUUCGUUUUCCAGUGUAGUGCGUUGAUUUCAUACCAAAGUCAUACUUAACAUUCCACUUAUACUGUCAAACCUCUGAGAAAUAUUACGGAAAACAACAAGGCGCCAAAUUUUAACAAACUAAGUCAAAGUGAGCCGCUGCUGUCUUUGAGGAGGAAAAAGGUGACUUUGAGAAGAAAAAAAGUUCAUACCUGGAUCACACUCUUCCAGCCUGGUUCCUCCGGAGGACUGCUGCAGGUUUACCUACAGGCUAAAAAGAGAGAGAGAGAGAGAGAGACAGACAAACAAAAAGCAUUUGGAGGAAUACACAACUUCAGUCUGGUUUGGACCUCUGCAUCCCAAAAGAUCUCCCACAGAUCCUUUGAUAUCGGGGCUCGGGGUCGGGCCCAGGGGGAGCCGCCACCAUUGCGUCCAACGAGUGGAGCGCCAACGGAAGCCCAGAAGAUGGGCUGGACGGGGACAACGAAGACAAGACCCUG
Molecule: long non-coding RNA, 479 nt
Organism: Notolabrus celidotus (New Zealand spotty)
Lineage: Eukaryota; Metazoa; Chordata; Actinopteri; Labriformes; Labridae
Exons: 3
Source: RefSeq, a predicted model, not a curated record